This 305-nucleotide ribosomal RNA is filed under the name uncultured bacterium. Its description in RNAcentral is "bacterial SSU rRNA". It matches the Rfam family "Bacterial small subunit ribosomal RNA", at positions 336 to 641 of the family's 1533-position model. The record is from RNAcentral.
UUCCUACGGGAGGCAGCAGUGGGGAAUAUUGCACAAUGGGGGAAACCCUGAUGCAGCGACGCCGCGUGAGUGAAGAAGUAUUUCGGUAUGUAAAGCUCUAUCAGCAGGGAAGAAAUAGCGACCUUUGGGUCGCCAGACGGUACCUGAUUAAGAAGCCCCGGCUAACUACGUGCCAGCAGCCGCGGUAAUACGGAGGAUGCGAGCGUUAUCCGGAUUUAUUGGGUUUAAAGGGUGCGUAGGCGGUCCGUUAAGUCAGCGGUAAAAUUGCGGGGCUCAACCCCGUCGAGCCGUUGAAACUGGCAGAC